This is a long non-coding RNA of Tupaia belangeri chinensis (Chinese tree shrew), 708 nucleotides long. RefSeq lists it as uncharacterized. The transcript is spliced from 3 exons. Lineage: Eukaryota; Metazoa; Chordata; Mammalia; Scandentia; Tupaiidae. The record is from RefSeq and is a predicted model, not a curated record.
UGCGGCAUACACACAGCGCUCGGCAUCUGGGUUACGUCUGUGCCCUGCGCUGAGGCAGCCCGGGAGCUCCCCAUCCAUCUACCAGGCUCAGCUGAGCUGCGCCUGCUGCAAACAGGCUCUCAUAGCCUUGAACUGCAGCUGGGAUGAGACUCUUCAGGAGUUCUGUCCCUCCCUAUGCCCCCAAGGCCCCCUCAGUCCUGGUGAUACUUAAUGGCCGUAAACAGGUACCUGGGGCCAGCUUGAUGGACUACCGGUUAAAGGAGCUGGAUCUCAUAUAGUUAACCUCACAGUUGCAGCCGGGGCCCCGGAAGCCUGAAAAACAGGCCCGGUGCAUGUACAUGUGUGCCCUGUAUCUUGACAGGACGGAGAAGUGGAAGGCAGAGAUUGAGCGGAUCGGUGCCAUUUGACCUGCUGUCUGCAGUUGAAGAGUGAGCCUGGCGGUGCCGGCAAGAGGGAGGGGAGCUGCUCAAGCCCUUCUAAUAUCCCCAUUCACAGGAGAGAAACUGGGGCCUGAAGAGAUGAAGUGGCCAGUCCAAGGAAAGUGCCAGAAGCAGAUAACAGACACAGCCAGGAUUAGAACCCUGCCCCUCUGAUUCUAGAAGCCACACUCCACUGUCCCAUCCAUCAUCCUCAUCACCACCCUCUCCUCACAGGAACCUGACAGUUCAGCAUUCACAAAACUCCUGCUCAUCAUCGCAUUUUCUUUUU